UACGCCUACGGGGGGCAGCAGUGGGGAAUAUUGCACAAUGGGGGAAACCCUGAUGCAGCGACGCCGCGUGAGCGAAGAAGUAUUUCGGUAUGUAAAGCUCUAUCAGCAGGGAAGAAAAAAAUGACGGUACCUGAAGAAGAAGCCCCGGCUAACUACGUGACAGCAGCCGCGGUAAUACGUAGGGGGCAAGCGUUAUACGGAUUUACUGGGAGUAAAGGGGGCGCAGACGGCGGUGCAAGCC
This 241-nucleotide ribosomal RNA is filed under the name uncultured bacterium. RNAcentral's name for it is "partial 16S ribosomal RNA". It matches the Rfam family "Bacterial small subunit ribosomal RNA", at positions 334 to 589 of the family's 1533-position model. The record is from RNAcentral.